This 433-nucleotide ribosomal RNA is filed under the name uncultured bacterium. RNAcentral describes it as "partial 16S ribosomal RNA". It matches the Rfam family "Bacterial small subunit ribosomal RNA", at positions 29 to 507 of the family's 1533-position model. The record is from RNAcentral.
AACGAACGCUGGCGGCAUGCCUAACACAUGCAAGUCGAACGAGACCUUCGGGUCUAGUGGCGCACGGGUGCGUAACGCGUGGGAACCUGCCUUUAGGUUCGGAAUAACUCAGAGAAAUUUGAGCUAAUACCGGAUGAUGUCUUCGGACCAAAGAUUUAUCGCCUUUAGAUGGGCCCGCGUUGGAUUAGCUAGUUGGUGGGGUAAAGGCCUACCAAGGCGACGAUCCAUAGCUGGUCUGAGAGGAUGAUCAGCCACACUGGGACUGAGACACGGCCCAGACUCCUACGGGAGGCAGCAGUGGGGAAUAUUGGACAAUGGGCGAAAGCCUGAUCCAGCAAUGCCGCGUGAGUGAUGAAGGCCUUAGGGUUGUAAAGCUCUUUUACCCGAGAUGAUAAUGACAGUAUCAGGAGAAUAAGCUCCGGCUAACUCCGUG